AAAAAAAAAGAAAAAAAAAAAGCAGCUCUGGCAAUAGUAAUUUACUACUGUUAUGCAACCAUUAGGUGCAAAUUAUGUUGUCCUGGCCAGCCAACAUUGGAGCAGAAAAAGAAAAUAAAACAGAAAACACAAUUCAAUAAAGAAAAGAGAAGACCUGGAUACUAAAUCAUCAAUCUAACAUAUUGCUGUUUGAUAGAGCUACUUGCCUACAAUCAGUUUUGCUCUUGCAUGACCCUCAUUGAUUUGGAACUGGUCCCCUAGUCCAAAAUGAGCCAUCAAUAACCAAACCAAAGUAAUAAGCUCUCCACCUUUACUUAUCUGCUGGGCAUGGGCGUUCGCUCUGCAGUGGCUAGCAGCAUAUGACAACAAUUCCACCCACACUUUGCUCAGUAUCUCCCAUUUCUUCUCCAAAUUAUCGAGCUCUUGAGCAAGCAUACUUCCAUCAAACAGUACAGACUUGCUUCUAUCUCCUUUCACAGCAAUAGGCUUAACUUCUGUAUUUACUGCAAGAAUGCUUUUACAUGCUUCCUUUUCCUGAUUGGAUCUCAAACCCUUUCUUUUGAAGAAUCUGUCAGCCUCAGCACAGGUGUCUCGGAAUCUUAUUUUACCAAUACCUGCCACGGCUGCCAUUAUAGUAGGUUGCAUAAUCAGAAGAUACAACAUGUAAUCUGAUAAGAUCUUGCAGAAUUCUCUGUGACUAUAACUCUUCGGAUUAGCAUCAGUUUCUUUGUUGUACAAAAGCUCAGUAGCAACAUGCCACAACAAAAGGCUCUGAUCAUAAGCGACAUCUGAAACAUAAGGCAUUAAGCCAUGAUAUUGAUCUGAAUCAUUAUCCUGGAGGACCCAAUCUCCUCUGGCUGAACAUAUUCUCUUGGCAGUUUCUGGAUCAUCUGCAAAAAGGGAUUUCUUUUGCAGCUCAGUGAAGAUGAAUUCCCAAAGCUCCUUAGUAAAUGGCUCAAUUGACACAUAUAUUAUUUCAUCUACGAAGUCUUUAAGACCCAUGAAAUCAAUAACUUUGUCCUUGAGAAUGCCUAAUUUCUCAAUGGGUGUAUCCAUGUGUGUGAACCUAAUGAUCUUUUCGGUGCGAUCAACCACACAUUGAUGGACAUUCUUGAUGAAACCAUAACACCAGCUAUGCUUCUUGAUAGUGCAAAUCCUAUUUGGGCGCCCUUUGAGGCAAUAUCUUAUCAAAUUAUGGCCUGAGAUGCGGCCAGACCACCUGCGGAAGCAAAGGGGGGUAACCAGAACUGUGCAUUCGACACCAGGCUCUAUCUUAUCCCACCUUAAACUCUUCAUACUGAGAAAUUUGCGGAAAAUCAUCACUGUCAAAGUUUUGAAACAAGCGGCGAUAGAUUUCCAGCAAGAGUCAGAUACUUUACCUGAUGUUUUAAGAGCAGCCGCUCUCCAAUCAGAGAAAAUGGCCAUGAAGAGUGAUAUUGUAUCCAAUCCUAUGGCACCAAAAAGCAACGCAUAUGAAAUUCCAACAUCAAGCCCAUCAAAAUUUUGCUUAUUCACAUGAAAAUGAAAGACUGCAAGAGCUGAAACAACUGAACUAAAGGAUAAAACCCGGAAAAAAUAUCCCCAUUUGGAUUGCACAACCACUACCUUAGUAAAGAGAACUUCGUAGAUGAAGUUGAGCUCAGUUUCUAUCACUCUCAAAGCAUCUUCUGCUAAUAUGCUAUUGAAGAAUUCCCGGCUGUCAUUUCUCUCCUUAAAGCUGAAGAUGAGAUCAACAAUUAGUCCCUUGAAGAUUUUGAAGAACCCAUAAGCUUUCUGUACCACCUCCAGCUGACCAUCUAAUUUUAUAAUUUUGGGAGCAAUACCAGCAGUGUUACUACCCUUUUCAGGCUCUGCUAUCAUAAUAAUCUGUGUAGGAAGAUUGGCCUGUUUCUUGGAAGCAUAUUCCUCCAUGAGCUUGGCAUAAUUAGGACCAGGGUCUGGUUCUUUGAGCAUAGAGUCUCGAAAUCUAUCCAUACUCGCAAGAUACAGAGAACGGGUGCGCUCCAGAUACUUGAUGAUCCCAGCAAGAAAUAAGAGAAAUGUUGGAAUCAUUACCUUAUUCUUGGGAAGUGUUUGAACAAACACAUAACCAGUAGCCACAGCCUGGAAAAUGAGAGCAAGCAAGUGCCUAAGCCAGAGCUCAUUAUCCUCGAGAGAGAAAGCCGUAAUUGUGUCCGGACCACCAAGAUGCAGCAAAAGAAAGGGAGCCCAGAAAGCCAAGAGGUCACUAUUGUCUGUAGAGUUGCUUUGGACGUUGGAGAUGAGUCCUACAGCGAAGUUUGCAGUUGCAUCGGCGAGCAAGUAACCAGACCAUAUCAUCAUGAUUACGAGCUUUCUUGCAGUGCGUUUCCUGAAAGGAGCGAAGAAGAUGAGAAGGAUUUGAAGUAGAAGACUGAACAUUAAUGCUCCUCUGAUAUUCCAGUGUUCCCAUAUCUUCUUGACUCUCUCUGGGAUGGGAUCAGCCAUUUUCUUCCUUCUACGGCCUCUUUCUUCUGUUCUUGUUUGGAUGAUUUUGGAAUUUGCACAAAACUCAGUUGUUGUUGCUGCGGGUGCUGCGUUAGA
This 2562-nucleotide unclassified non-coding RNA is filed under the name Hevea brasiliensis (rubber tree). Lineage: Eukaryota; Viridiplantae; Streptophyta; Magnoliopsida; Malpighiales; Euphorbiaceae. The record is from RNAcentral.